RNAcentral lists this long non-coding RNA (887 nucleotides) under Equus caballus (horse). RNAcentral's name for it is "lncRNA (ENSECAG00000046744.1)". Lineage: Eukaryota; Metazoa; Chordata; Mammalia; Perissodactyla; Equidae. The record is from RNAcentral.
UGUCAUGUCAAAAUGGCAGAGCUUUCCACAAACCACUCCAGCAAAUAAAGUCUCCUCUCUGAGUGCCUAAUCUUCUCCCGGUAAGCAGAAAGAGAGUGGGGCAUAAACUGCUUUCUUCCACCGCUGCCCCCAGAGGACCCCACAGUCCCACUCACGUGGCCCGUGGAGAGACCGAAACGAGACAAAUGAUACCUUGGCGAUGACUGGAGAAUCUUACGCAGAGAAAUUUAUUACGUUUUGGAAAAGUUCCGGGCAGUGGUUUUUAUCAUUAGAUCCUUUAUGCUCUUCAAGUUGCAUAAGACGCUCUGACUUCUUUUUCUUGUCGAAGCAUAACUUCCAGGUCAGCUUUAGCUGUUCAGGUGGGCAAGCCACAGCUUUUUGCUGUUGGAGGAGGUGAGGCUGACAGAAAGAGAAGAUAACCCUUAUAGUGGAGGACCUGGAAGAGAUCAUCCUCUGGAGUCAGGCAGUGAACGGUACAUGAUUAUAUCUUUUAGACACUUGUCACCUCAGAAUGCCUACCAGUUAUCAGGAACUAUGAACAUAUUCUUCUUGUACUGCUGGGGAAAACUCAGAUCUGUGACAGAAUUCCUUCCAUUGUCUCGAGAGCAAAUGCAGCAACAACUCACAUUUAUUGAGCACUUACUCAUCUAGACGCUUUACCUCAUUUUGUCUUCACCACCUUCUCAGGAAGGUACUACUGCCAGCCCCAUUUUACAGUGAAGCACAUAUGCAGAUCCGGAGACUAGAAUACUCUAACAGCUAUACUGAGACCUAAAGAGAAAAGACCAGGUGAGGAAACAAUGAGAAGACAGUGUCCUGUCCAUAUGACAGCACCCACAUACAAGCAGUAAGAGGACCUUCAUCAGAAAUCAACACUGCUGAGCCCA